GGGGGUGGAUGGUGCCUGGUGGUGCUCCUGGUCUUCAAAACCAGUCGUCGGGCGGCCAACCCGUCCGUGGUGGGUUCGAUUCCCACCCACUCCCGCCA
This 98-nucleotide transfer RNA is filed under the name Bacillota bacterium. RNAcentral's name for it is "tRNA-Sec". It matches the Rfam family "Selenocysteine transfer RNA". RNAcentral also lists the same sequence under 4 other names. The record is from RNAcentral. Lineage: Bacteria; Bacillati; Bacillota.